Molecule: long non-coding RNA, 2391 nt
Filed under: Olea europaea (common olive)
Lineage: Eukaryota; Viridiplantae; Streptophyta; Magnoliopsida; Lamiales; Oleaceae
Description: long non-coding RNA (OEUR_LNC001158)
Source: RNAcentral
AAAACUCAUUCAAAUAAAAUGAUGAGCAUCAAGGCCUAGGUAUUAUUGGUAAUCUCCUAAACAACUUCUAAAAUAACUCUAAGAUUUCUCGACGCACUCUCAAAGUUCCAAGUAAGAAUGUGAAAGGAAGGUAGAACCUUUUUAGAUAAGGUCACUAUCGAGAUUAGAUUCUUACAGUGAGCAUUUGAAACCAAAAAUUAGAGAAUGAGUCUUUAUUUCACCAAAAAGGGUCUUCGAAAAAACAUGAGCCUUAAGUAGAGUGAAUGAACUUGAACGAGAGUAGUAAUACAUCUGAGUUUCAUAUAGCUAUUUGCCAUUACAUUAAAAAUUUGAACUGAAAAACCACAAUAGGAUUAAUCCACCAAAUGUUUCCAAUCCAAGCCAUUUGUUUCUUAUGCAGAAACCAUCACUAUUUUGCUGGGCACGUGCUCGAGGAGUACUACUGGUUCCUGCAGGUGCACUCGUAGGAUUGGCUUCAACUGUAGGAUUUGGCCCUCCUGCUACUGGGGUGCUUGCAGUAUUGUUGCUGGAAUUUUUACCAAAUUGAUAGAACACUUGAGCAUCUGGUGAAUUUGGGGGCAACUUGAGUAGAGCUGCGAUAAAAAUCAAUUAAAAUGAUAUAAUUGUAAAAUCCAUACCGGGAUCGAGGCCUAUUUAAGUGUUUGUUCCGGGAUGUGAUUAGAAAAUAUAAUGAUAUCGACUACUACCCAACCUUCUCUACAACACAAGCUUCAAAGGCAUAGUAGUACAUGGUACUCCAUAAGACGGAUAUGACUCGAAACAUAAUAGUGGCACUCAAGAUUUUUUUUCUAUAUUACUAGUGUAUGGUCCACCAUAGUAAACAGACCAAUAAGUAGUUAAAAUUCGAAUCCGAGUCAACUCAGACUCUUAAAUUGAUUUUGGUAAAGAAUGCUACUUUAACUUCAUGUUUAGUACGUAAUACUAGAUAUGACUCGAGCACAGCAUAAUCCAGAAAAUUUUAACACUUUUUUUUGAUGAUAAAAAUAACAUGAAAAAUCAUUAAGGACAUAAGUAUUAUAAUGAGCAAAAAUUAACAACUCAAUAAGGAUAGUUUAUUAGCACCACAAAUUUUAUUUGUUACAUUAUAUUUAAAUUGCAUUUAGACUCCUCAAUAAAUGCUUGAUGUAGCAAUUAUUUUCUUUAUUUUUUUCGUCGAAUUUUUAUCUUCGACGUUUUAUUAAUUAGUACAUUUCAUCUUUAAUGAUCAUGUCUAUCAAAAUAUUUUGUUUUCAUACUUUGAAAUGAGAGAAAAAUACUUUUUUCAUACUUAUUUAUUUAUUUAUUCUUUAAAAUAUGAUGAAAAAUAAUUUUUUAUACAUUAUUUUAAUGGACUUUUUUAACAUAAACUAUUAUUAAAUACAAAAUGUGUUAACUAAUGAAAAGUUUAAUAAUAAAAUUGUCAUAAAAAAUCGUUAGGAACCAUAAAUCCUAUAAUGAAUCGUUAAGUGUAAUUAAAAUAUGGUGCAAAAAAAUAAAAAUGUGGUUCAAAUAUAAUUACACCGAAAAUAGUUAAAGAGAAAAGAGGGAAAAAAAUGGAAAAUCAUUAUUAAAAAAUUGAGUUAAUUAAAUUAAUACUUACUAAACUUACAUUAGAUUUCUUAGGACCCCUUGAGUAGAUUCCGAGGUCCCAUUAGAACCCCGUUUGAUGUUAAUUAUUUCAAAACACUUUUUUCUCGUACUAAUUUUCAACCACAUAUUAUCAUAAUAAAAUAUUUUACACAUAAAGUCAAAUUUUUUUAAAUUUUAAAUUACAAAUUCUUAAAAAAAUCACUAUUACAAAACUCAUUCAAAUAAAAUGAUGAGCAUCAAGGCCUAGGUAUUAUUGGUAAUCUCCUAAACAACUUCUAAAAUAACUCUAAGAUUUCUCGACGCACUCUCAAAGUUCCAAGUAAGAAUGUGAAAGGAAGGUAGAACCUUUUUAGAUAAGGUCACUAUCGAGAUUAGAUUCUUACAGUGAGCAUUUGAAACCAAAAAUUAGAGAAUGAGUCUUUAUUUCACCAAAAAGGGUCUUCGAAAAAACAUGAGCCUUAAGUAGAGUGAAUGAACUUGAACGAGAGUAGUAAUACAUCUGAGUUUCAUAUAGCUAUUUGCCAUUACAUUAAAAAUUUGAACUGAAAAACCACAAUAGGAUUAAUCCACCAAAUGUUUCCAAUCCAAGCCAUUUGUUUCUUAUGCAGAAACCAUCACUAUUUUGCUGGGCACGUGCUCGAGGAGUACUACUGGUUCCUGCAGGUGCACUCGUAGGAUUGGCUUCAACUGUAGGAUUUGGCCCUCCUGCUACUGGGGUGCUUGCAGUAUUGUUGCUGGAAUUUUUACCAAAUUGAUAGAACACUUGAGCAUCUGGUGAAUUUGGGGGCAACUUGAGUAGAG